Molecule: transfer RNA, 75 nt
Filed under: Cordylochernes scorpioides
Lineage: Eukaryota; Metazoa; Arthropoda; Arachnida; Pseudoscorpiones; Chernetidae
Description: tRNA-Thr
Rfam family: tRNA
About the family: Transfer RNA (tRNA) molecules are approximately 80 nucleotides in length. Their secondary structure includes four short double-helical elements and three loops (D, anti-codon, and T loops).
Source: RNAcentral
GUCCUGGGUAGCCUAGUGGACAUGGCAUCUGCCCGGUAAGCGGAACACUGUGGGUUCGAUUCCCAUCCCUGGACA